ACUCGGGGAUAGCCUUUCGAAAGAAAGAUUAAUAUCCGAUAGCAUAUAUUUCCCGCAUGGGUUUUAUAUUAAAGAAAUUCGGUAUGAGAUGGGGAUGCGUUCCAUUAGUUUGUUGGGGGGGUAACGGCCCACCAAGACUACGAUGGAUAGGGGUUCUGAGAGGAAGGUCCCCCACAUUGGAACUGAGACACGGUCCAAACUCCUACGGGAGGCAGCAGUGAGGAAUAUUGGUCAAUGGACGCGAGUCUGAACCAGCCAAGUAGCGUGAAGGAUGACUGCCCUAUGGGUUGUAAACUUCUUUUAUAUGGGAAUAAAGUUGUCCACGUGUGGAUUUUUGUAUGUACCAUAUGAAUAAGGAUCGGCUAACUCCGUGCCAGCAGCCGCGGUAAUACGGAGGAUCCGAGCGUUAUCCGGAUUUAUUGGGUUUAAAGGGAGCGUAGGCGGAUUGUUAAGUCAGUUGUGAAAGUUUGCGGCUCAACCGUAAAAUUGCAGUUGAUACUGGCAGUCUUGAGUGCAGUAGAGGUGGGCGGAAUUCGUGGUGUAGCGGUGAAAUGCUUAGAUAUCACGAAGAACUCCGAUUGCGAAGGCAGCUCACUGGAGUGUAACUGACGCUGAUGCUCGAAAGUGUGGGUAUCAAACAGGAUUAGAUACCCUGGUAGUCCACACAGUAAACGA
Molecule: ribosomal RNA, 675 nt
Filed under: uncultured bacterium
Lineage: Bacteria
Description: bacterial SSU rRNA
Rfam family: Bacterial small subunit ribosomal RNA
Source: RNAcentral